AGAGUUUGAUCCUGGCUCAAGACGAACGCUGGCGGCGUGCUUAACACAUGCAAGUCGAACGAAGCUUGAUUACAGAUUCUUCGGAUGAAGUAUGAUAUGACUGAGUGGCGGACGGGUGAGUAACGCGUGAGUAACCUGCCCUUCAGAGGGGGAUAGCGUUUGGAAACGAACGGUAAUACCGCAUAACGUAUUUUGACCGCAUGAUCGAAAUACCAAAGAUUUAUCGCUGAAGAGAUGGACUCGCGUCUGAUUAGGUAGUUGGUGGGGUAACGGCCUACCAAGCCGACGAUCAGUAGCCGGACUGAGAGGUUGAUCGGCCACAUUGGGACUGAGACACGGCCCAGACUCCUACGGGAGGCAGCAGUGGGGAAUAUUGCACAAUGGGCGCAAGCCUGAUGCAGCAACGCCGCGUGAAGGAAGACGGUUUUCGGUAUUGUAAACUUCUGUUCUUAGUGAAGAAUAAUGACGGUAGCUAAGGAGCAAGCCACGGCUAACUACGUGCCAGCAGCCGCGGUAAUACGUAGGUGGCAAGCGUUGUCCGGAAUUACUGGGUGUAAAGGGAGCGCAGGCGGGUGAUCAAGUCAGCUGUGAAAACUACGGGCUUAACCCGUAGACUGCAGUUGAAACUGUUCAUCUUGAGUGAAGUAGAGGUUGGCGGAAUUCCGAGUGUAGCGGUGAAAUGCGUAGAUAUUCGGAGGAACACCGGUGGCGAAGGCGGCCAACUGGGCUUUAACUGACGCUGAGGCUCGAAAGUGUGGGGAGCAAACAGGAUCGUGAUACCCUGGUAGUCCACACUGUAAACGAUGAAUUGCUAGGUGUGGGGGGUGUGACCCCCUCCGUGCCGGAGCUAACGCAAUAAGCAAUCCACCUGGGGAGUACGACCGCAAGGUUGAAACUCAAAGGAAUUGACGGGGACCCGCACAAGCAGUGGAUUAUGUGGUUUAAUUCGAAGCAACGCGAAGAACCUUACCAGCACUUGACAUCCAACUAACGAAAUAGAGAUAUAUUAGGUGCCCUUCGGGGAAAGUUGAGACAGGUGGUGCAUGGUUGUCGUCAGCUCGUGUCGUGAGAUGUUGGGUUAAGUCCCGCAACGAGCGCAACCCUCGCCAUUAGUUGCUACGCAAGAGCACUCUAAUGGGACCGCUACCGACAAGGUGGAGGAAGGUGGGGAGGACGUCAAAUCAUCAUGCCCCUUAUGUGCUGGGCUACACACGUAAUACAAUGGCCAUCAACAGAGAGAAGCAAUACCGCGAGGUGGAGCAAAACUUCAAAAAUGGUCUCAGUUCGGACUGCAGGCUGCAACCCGCCUGCACGAAGUUGGAAUUGCUAGUAAUCGUGGAUCAGCAUGCCACGGUGAAUAAGUUCCCGGGUCUUGCAC
RNAcentral lists this ribosomal RNA (1378 nucleotides) under uncultured bacterium. RNAcentral's name for it is "16S ribosomal RNA". It matches the Rfam family "Bacterial small subunit ribosomal RNA", at positions 8 to 1386 of the family's 1533-position model. The record is from RNAcentral.